GAAAACAAGUGCUUGCAUCCUGGGGCCCUCGCACGCACGCGCAGGAGGCCAGGCGCGCUGCUGAUAAGAGCCUGCGGGUUUGCAGAGAAGCGCAGCAGCGCGCAGGUCCUCACCGGAGCUCUGGUGGCCACCUCUGUCCCGCCAUGCUGCUCACUGACAGUGGCCGGGGCCCACAGCACCAAGGGGCUCGGGCCACAAAGUAAAGGUGCAUCCUGUCUGGAGCUUGUGCUGGCCCGGCGAGUGGAGCCCAGAGCCCAUCCCCCACUACCAAUCCCCGGAUUGCUGCCUGCCUGGCCCAGGAGGUGCUGGUCAAGAUGUGUUAGUGAGGGGCUAGACAAGGUGAGCACGUGAGAAGCAGGGGCCAGGGAGCCUGGACCCAGGACCUGGGGGUGCUGUGGCGGCACUGUGGCUGGGCACCUGGGGGCGCUGUGGCGGCACUGUGGCUGGGCACACCCAGCAGCGGCCUAGCUCUGCGUGCCUGUCACCACCUGACCCUCACUGCGGCUGCUGGGCGGCAUGCACCAGGACUGCACGAUGACCCACACCUCCCGUCCUGCCCGCCAGCCUCUAGAUGGGAAUUCCCACAUCCACCCACCCGCCCAUCUGCCAGCUGCCUGCAUGCCUGGCCACAGGGCCGUGUCGCCUGCUGUGGGGCGCACGCUGCUGUUGGCACU
Molecule: small RNA, 674 nt
Filed under: Pongo abelii (Sumatran orangutan)
Lineage: Eukaryota; Metazoa; Chordata; Mammalia; Primates; Hominidae
Description: processed transcript
Source: RNAcentral